Long non-coding RNA from Solenopsis invicta (red fire ant), 5271 nucleotides. RefSeq lists it as uncharacterized. The transcript has 3 exons. The record is from RefSeq and is a predicted model, not a curated record. Lineage: Eukaryota; Metazoa; Arthropoda; Insecta; Hymenoptera; Formicidae.
AAAUUGAAUUGUUGAUAUUACAACACUAGACAGUACAACUUAUAACAGUCAUAACUACCAUUUAUUAAGUUUAUAUAACAAACAUUAUGCUUUUGUCUCGUCCGGAUGGACAACUAUGUAGUCACGUCUUCGUGCCUGCUUUACCAACAGAAUUUAGAGUACAAAAAAGUAGGUAAAUCGGGGCGCUCUCUAUCCACCCGCGCUGCCCGUGUUGCCCGCGCUAUCGCCAUGUUUCAUUACGUUUUCUGUUUUUGUAGAACCAACAGACUUUUCGUCAGUUAUAUUGCAUAGAGUGUUUUCUUUGUGUAGCAAACAUACCUAAACGUAAGAGAUAUUAUUCAUCGGAUUUUUCUGCGAAAACAGACUUAUGGGCGACGUAAGCAUCGUCGCCACUCGCGUGAUAAACAUUCACGUGCUAAACAUAACCUCUCCAAAAGCCCAACGGUCGAUAGAUCUGCAUUUUUAUUCAGAUUUUGCUUGUCUUCUCGAGAAAAGUUGUCCCGAGCCUUAUCUGAGUUCCUCGAUUUUAUGAAGCGUCGAGAGUUCUUCCUAGCAAUUAACCCAGGAGAUACGGAUAUAACCAGACAGAUCUUAUCCGAGGGUUCCUUAGUCUCAGCAGAGGCAUUGUCAGAGGUCACGUACUUUUCUGACAGACAUGCAGAUGAGCAGACGAUCCAGGACAAGAAUCGGGGGGUGUACCAGAGGGCUCGCCUAUCGUGGAGAGGAUGAACAGCGUUACUUCCGACAACUCUCAGGUAUCAGAUAUAAUGGACCAGAAUAACCUCAGCGAGGUAAAGCAACCGUCGGAAAAUUUUUUCGAGAAACUGUUUAGCGUGCCAACGCAAUCGCCUGAUGUAACCUUGUGGCUCCAAGCUAUUCUAGAGGCAACAAAAUUUAACGUUUGUUCAGGCCUGAAGAAAGACUUCAAAAAGAGUUUCCUUGCAAAAUAUGAGCCUGAGGAGGGGCUCUCAUUCCUCGCACCACCUAAGGUAAAUAAGGAGAUUCUCCCUAACCUCAGUGCCUUGUGACACGCGACACACAUCAGAGCCAGGCCCAAUCACAGGUAGAAGCUUCGCUCAAUGCCCUUGCUAGUGGAAUUUCCGAGCUCUUAAAGUUAGAUGUCCUACAGGCAUCAACAGCAGGAAAAGCCGCUAUCUCUAAAAUAGCAGAUGGUAUUUGUCUAAUAGCGAAUCUCCAUUAUGGACUAUCUAAGGCAAAGCGAGCCUUUAUAGUACCCUCGCUAUAUUUUUCGGGUAAAGCCGCCUCCGAUUUAGCUGCGGUGGAUGAAUAUCUAUUUGGUAAUAAUUUCUCCGAAAAAGUGAAUGCCGCUCAGAUUAUCGAGAAGGUGGCCAAUAAAAUGGCCAGAAAAUCUCACCAUUCAGCUAUCCUGAAGACUAAGCCUACAGUACAACAGUCAGCGCAGAAAAAUCAAUUUUAUUGCAUUUUACAUACACUUUCAAAAAACAGGAGGGCCUCUCCUCGCAGAACCUCGUCAACUCACAGAGCGAGGAGGGGUUCUUACCAAUCGAAGACCAGCAGGAGGUCUCGAUCCAGAUCACAAGCGCGCCGUUACAGUAAGAUCCGCAGGCCGCUUGGCUUUAUUUUUAGACCGCUGGAAGGAACUCACUUCGGAUCAGGUAGUUUUUGAGGCUGUCAGGGGUUUUAAGAUUCUCUUCGCCUUAUCUCCAUUACCUCGGUCUAGGUUAAAAGAGCCUUAUCUUUUUCCAAAAGAUUCAGUGCUUUGUAAAACAAAAAUCCAGCGUCUUAUAAGAAAGGACGCUGUAAUGAGAGUGGAGCCGUCCGACGAUCAGUUUUUAUGCUUCUUUUUUGUAAUUAGAAAAUCCGGAGGCGGGACCUGUUUUAUUUUAAAUCUUAAAGACUUAAAUUCAUAUAUUUUGUCCCCACACUUUAAACUAGAGGACUGGUACCGUCAUUUAACUUAUGCUUCUUAAUUACAGAAUGGCUACUAUUGAUCUGGAGGACGCGUACCUUCUAGUACCCAUGCACCCCUCAUGCAGGAAAUUCCUCCGUUUUCAUUUGAAAAACAAAGUGUAUGAGUUCACCUUCUUGCCCUUUAGUCUUGCGGUCGCACCAUACAUUUUUACAAAUAUAUUACGUCCUGUAUUCAGAAGUUUACGUGAAGAAGGUUUCCAGUCAAUUGUUUAUCUUGAUGAUUUCUUGUUUUUAAGUGCUUCUCAGGAGGAUUGUAAAAAUAAUGUGCAAGCAUUCAUUGAAUUACUAUCUUCCUUAGGUUUUCUCAUCAACUACUCCAAAUCUCAGCUGUUACCUUUGACCAAAUGUAAAUAUUUAGGGUUCAUAUUUGAUUCUGUUUAUCAAUUAGUGUCAAUUUCAGUUGAUAAAAAAGAGAAGUUAUUUGCACUAACCCAAAGCUUUGCUCAAAACUCACACUGUACCAUUAGAGACUUUGCAGCCUUAAUCGGAUCACUAAUGUCUAUUUUUCCAGCUGUUCAAUACAGCCUCCUCUAUACCAAGAGAUUCAAAGGAGAAAAGUUUCUAACGUUGGAAUCGCAUGCGGGGGACUUCUCAAAACAGAUGACAAUCCCUGCAUAUUAACAAGAGGAUUUUGUCUGGUGGCUCAGAGUAUUUUUUGACAGAAAACAGGCUAAUUCCAUUUGCGCAGACCAGUUUGCUUGUGAGAUUUUUUUAGAUGCGUCGUUAACAGGAUGGGGAGCAUUAUGUGAUAUCCAACAAACUCAUGGCUGGUGGUCAGACGAAGAUAAAUGCCUCCAUAUCAAUGCUUUGGAGCUAAAGGCUGCCUUUUUCGCCUUGAGGUGUUUCGCUCUUGACCUCGCCGAUUCCAACGUGCUUCUUCGAAUCGACAAUACCACCGCCAUUUCGUACAUAAACAGAUUUGGCUCUGUCCAGCACCCUCUUCUAUCAGACAUUGCCAGAGGUACCUGGAGGUGGUGUGAAAGCCGAAAAAUAUUUAUUUUUGCAUCUUACAUUGCCUCAAUAGAAAAUAUUAUUGCGGAUACCGAACGCUUUUCCAAUACAGAUACGGAAUGGACCUUAUCGGAUCAGAUUUUUAUUCAGAUUAAGGGGGGUAUUUGGGUCUUUUGACAUAGAUCUCUUUGCGUCGUUAAUUAAUGCCAAGGUAGACAGAUAUGUCUCUUGGCACCCUGAUCCAGGGUCUUGGACAAUUGACGCCUUUAUGUUGUCGUGGUCCCCGUAUUACUUCUAUGCCUUCCCCCCUUUCAUUUUGCUUCUUAGAGUUUUACGCAAAAUUUGUGACAAUCAGGCGACAGGAAUCUUAAUUAUACCCUGGUGGCUUUCUCAACCGUGGUUUUCCAUGUUUAAGCAAUUAUUAAUUUCUGAUUCGUUAAUUUUUGAGCCUUCUCAAUCCCUGUUGUUUUCUUCUUUCAAAACCUAUCAUCCAGAAUGGAGACGUCUUUCUCUGGCAGCAGGGAGAUUAUCAGGGAAGCAUUGACUCGUCAGUCAGUUCCUCCGUCAGCUUUGGAGAUCAUGCUAGCAUCCUUAUCUGAAGCUAUGAUCAAACAAUACACAAAACCUUUAAGAUCCUGGUGUCAUUUUUGCUAGGUAUAUCAGACACCCCUCUACUUGCCGGAGAUAGACAGAGUCCUAGAAUUCCUGACACAGGAAGUAAAGGACAUUGGUUGCUAUUUUACUUUCAACACCACUCGAUCAGCCAUUUCCCUCAUUUUGGAGGGAUCGAUUGGUAGUCAUUAUUUAAUUAAGAGGUUUGCUAAGGGUGUUAGCACACUUAAACCGCAGAAAUCAAGAUAUAAUUUUGUUUGGGAUCCAGCCCCGGUAAUCUCAGAGGUAGCAAAAUUUUUUCUUUACGAUAACUAGUCAUUGGAGAUUAUUACCAGAAGAUUAGCUCUGCUGUUAGCUUUAAGGUCAGGUCAGCGUUUGCAGACAUUAGCAGCCAUUAGAAUUACACACAUUUUUAGGGAAAAUAAUAGGUUGCUUAUCAGAAUUCCAGAUCGUCUAAAAACCUCGGCGCCAGGUCGUACUUAGCCUACUCUUACUUUUUCUCAGUUUCUGGAUCGCCCAGACCUUUGUAUCAUAACGUUGUUAAAUUGCUAUUUACAGCGAACAGAGGAUUUGCAGCUCCAGAAGUGUGACUCUUUAUUUAUUUCUUGGGUAAAACCACAUAAACCAGUUGGAACCCAAUCAACAAGCCGCUGGAUCCAAAAAACCUUGAAAGAAUGCGGAGUUCAGACAAAUAUGUAUUCUCGGCUCAUAGUACGCGACAUGCAUCUAUCUGGCUCGUGGUCAAGAGAGGUGCACCUCUUGACAUUAUUAAGAGAGCAACGGGCUGGUCUGGGGAAUCUCAGAUCUUUGCUAAAUUUUAUAAUUGCCCCAUUAUUAAUCCGGAUACGUUUUGUAACUCUGUCCUUCUUUCUUAGGUUUUUUCACUUUUGCUAUUGUCAGACUCUAGCGGCUUCAGACUAAUUGUUAUUGUUUGUACGAGUUUAGAUUUAACCUCACUCUUAGAUAAGAUUAUAUCUAGUGUAUACACCACAGGAUGUACGAGUAUAAUAAAACACUCUGUAUUAUUGUAAUCUGCAAUUCAUAAAAAUGUAAUAUGGAUAUUUACAUUAGAGUACGAUUAGUCGCAAAUUGCGCUAUAAACAACUACAUAGUUGUUCACCCGGACGAGACAGAGGCAUAAUUGUAAGAUUAAACGAACUCACCGAGUGAAGUUCGAUCUUAAUUACGCCCUGGCUUGUCCGGAUGGACCUUCCACGCCCUAAACAAUCUUUACGCUUCUCCCAUCCAGUUAGGCGAUUUGUUUCAGUGCUUUAAAAUAAUGAAACAUGGCGAUAGCGCGGACAACAUGGGCAGCGCGGGUGGGUAGAGAGCGCCCCGAUUUACCUAUUUUUUCGUACUCUAAAUUCUGUUGGUAAAGCAAGCACGAAGAUGUGACUACAUAGUUGUCCAUCCGGACGAGUCAGGGCAUAAUUAAGAUCGAACUUCACUCGGUGAGUUCGUUUAAUCUUACAAUUUUAUUUUAGUAAUGUAAUUGUUAUAAAACUGAAUUAUUAAUACUCUUGUAUAACAAAUAGGAUGCAACUGUUAUGUAACUAUUAUUUUUCUUAUGAGUGGGAAAUUACAACUAACAUUACAUGUACCACACGUAAUGUUAGUUGUAAUUUCCCAUUAACAUUACAUGUGCGUUACAUGGACAUUACAUGUAACGCAAUGUUAUAUUGCGUGUUACUUCCGAUUUUAUUCUAUUAACAUUGCUGUUAUGCAACUGUGUUUACUGGGAUUUAUAAUCUUAAA